This 427-nucleotide ribosomal RNA is filed under the name uncultured bacterium. RNAcentral's name for it is "bacterial SSU rRNA". It matches the Rfam family "Bacterial small subunit ribosomal RNA", at positions 917 to 1345 of the family's 1533-position model. The record is from RNAcentral.
GGGCCCGCACAAGCGGUGGAGUAUGUGGUUUAAUUCGAUGCAACGCGAAGAACCUUACCAGGGCUUGACAUCCUGCGAAUCUCUGGGAAACCGGAGAGUGCCUUCGGGAACGCAGUGACAGGUGGUGCAUGGCUGUCGUCAGCUCGUGUCGUGAGAUGUUGGGUUAAGUCCCGCAACGAGCGCAACCCACGUCUUUAGUUGCCAGCAUUUAGUUGGGCACUCUAGAGAGACCGCCGGUGACAAACCGGAGGAAGGUGUGGAUGACGUCAAGUCAUCAUGCCCCUUACGUCCUGGGCUACACACGUACUACAAUGCUACGGACAAAGGGCAGCAAACUCGCGAGAGCUAGCAAAUCCCAUAAACCGUGGCUCAGUUCAGAUCGUAGGCUGCAACUCGCCUACGUGAAGGAGGAAUCGCUAGUAAUCGC